ACUAAGUUGUGGUUAUGGAGGUUGAUAAACUCAUAUAUUAUUUAUUUUCAUCAGCUUCUUCUUUGGCAUGUUUACAAGGUUGGAGUUAAAUAACAGCACUAUAUUU
RNAcentral lists this small nucleolar RNA (106 nucleotides) under Nelumbo nucifera (sacred lotus). Its description in RNAcentral is "Small nucleolar RNA snoR97". It matches the Rfam family "Small nucleolar RNA snoR97". Lineage: Eukaryota; Viridiplantae; Streptophyta; Magnoliopsida; Proteales; Nelumbonaceae. The record is from Rfam by way of RNAcentral.